Alligator sinensis (Chinese alligator) is the source of this 669-nucleotide long non-coding RNA. RefSeq lists it as uncharacterized. The transcript is spliced from 2 exons. NCBI's taxonomy places the organism in Eukaryota, Metazoa, Chordata, Crocodylia, Alligatoridae. The record is from RefSeq and is a predicted model, not a curated record.
AACAGAAACCACACCAUUCUUGUCCCGUCGCAGCUGAUUAUAUUACGUGAUCCUGGACCCACAGCACAAAAGGCACGCCUGCAACCCAGGACAACUGUCCAGACUUCGUUUAUAGAUGACGUGCCUCUCAUAUUUCUACUGCAUCACAUAUCCCAGCAUGUAUUUUGAGUUUCACGGUUGCCUUUAAGACUGUAAGCAAGCAACACAUGCUACCGAUUGGCUUACCGCGGCAUUUAUAUUCUGUUUACCACCUCAAUACCUGCACCUCGGUAAAGGGACGCAAUACCACAGCAGAUGGCAUCGCUGCAGAACGACGACAUUGCAAAGGCUUGAAUGUAAAGAAGAAAAGCAUUAGGGAGACGCUGUGCAGGACACUGGAGGAGAAGCAAUUAGAGAGCCUGUGAAGAGAGAUUCACUGCCUGUCUUCCAAGACCUGGGGACUCUCCUUCUGAUUCCACCAAGAGUCUUCAAGUGAAUCUCAUCACCUGCCUUUCACCUUGAUGUUUCUCCGUGUUUGAGCUACUCCUGUUUAUUCAGCUGUUUUGUCUGAUUAUUCAUAACAGGGUGCUUCUGGGCCAGAGUUCAAUGGACACAAGCAGCUUUUUAACACUGCAGAUUUCUUUGUAUAUGAAAUCAAGACUUUUCCCCAUUAAAGCUUAUCUUUAGGUG